CGGCGUGCUUAACACAUGCAAGUCGAACGAUGAAGCGGUACUUGUACCGUGGAUUAGUGGCGAACGGGUGAGUAACACGUGAGUAACCUGCCCUGGACUCUGGGAUAACCCCGAGAAAUCGGAGCUAAUACCGGAUAUGACUUCGCACCGCAUGGUGUGGGGUGGAAAGUUUUUUCGGUCUGGGAUGGACUCGCGGCCUAUCAGCUUGUUGGUGAGGUAAUGGCUCACCAAGGCGUCGACGGGUAGCCGGCCUGAGAGGGUGACCGGCCACACUGGGACUGAGACACGGCCCAGACUCCUACGGGAGGCAGCAGUGGGGAAUAUUGCACAAUGGGCGCAAGCCUGAUGCAGCAACGCCGCGUGAGGGAUGACGGCCUUCGGGUUGUAAACCUCUUUUAGUAAGGAAGAAGGGGCCUUGUGCCUUGACGGUACUUGCAGAAAAAGGACCGGCUAACUACGUGCCAGCCGCCGCCGUAAGAC
This 480-nucleotide ribosomal RNA is filed under the name uncultured bacterium. RNAcentral describes it as "bacterial SSU rRNA". It matches the Rfam family "Bacterial small subunit ribosomal RNA", at positions 40 to 526 of the family's 1533-position model. The record is from RNAcentral.